This 253-nucleotide ribosomal RNA is filed under the name uncultured bacterium. RNAcentral's name for it is "partial 16S ribosomal RNA". It matches the Rfam family "Bacterial small subunit ribosomal RNA", at positions 524 to 776 of the family's 1533-position model. The record is from RNAcentral.
UACGUAGGAGGCAAGCGUUGUCCGGAGUUACUGGGCGUAAAGCGCACGCAGGCGGUCGCCUCAGUCUGGGGUGACAGUUCCCGGCCUAACCGGGAAAGUGCUCUGGAAACUGUGCGACUUGAGGGCUUCAGAGGGAUGUGGAAUUCCAGGUGGAGUGGUGAAAUGCGUAGAGAUCUGGAAGAACACCAAAGGCGAAGGCAGCAUCCUGGGAAGUUCCUGACGCUCGGGUGCGAAAGCCAGGGGAGCGAACGGG